This is a long non-coding RNA of Brienomyrus brachyistius, 341 nucleotides long. RefSeq lists it as uncharacterized. NCBI's taxonomy places the organism in Eukaryota, Metazoa, Chordata, Actinopteri, Osteoglossiformes, Mormyridae. The record is from RefSeq and is a predicted model, not a curated record. The transcript has 3 exons.
GAGAGAAGGGCGGAGCACUGCAGGGAGAUGUCUGUCGCACGUUAGCUUGGGUAACUGCUCGAGGGGUGAGGGGGGCAGGGAUCUCCUUAUGCUGUAGGUGUCCACCUGAGAUAUAAGAUGGAGGGGAUUGAGUGCCUGUGCUUCUGGCCGGCUGGAAAUGUUUUCUUCAAAGUCACCUGCAGUAGCGAUACCAUUGAGUAAUAGGUGGGACACGCCUGUUGCCGGGCCCAGAAGACACAGGUGUCCCUAAGCAGCCAGGGAACAGGAAGAAACCAUCUGAACUUCCAGUAUGGGGGUGUAUACCAUGGAUUUUGUUUGAAAACUACAAGGUGUUCUACAUU